This 256-nucleotide ribosomal RNA is filed under the name uncultured bacterium. Its description in RNAcentral is "partial 16S ribosomal RNA". It matches the Rfam family "Bacterial small subunit ribosomal RNA", at positions 524 to 776 of the family's 1533-position model. The record is from RNAcentral.
UACGGAGGGUGCGAGCGUUGUCCGGAAUCAUUGGGCGUAAAGGGCGCGUAGGUGGCCCGGUCAGUCGUUUGGUGAAAGCGCGGGGCUCAACCCUGCGUCGGCCAGGGAUACUGCCGCGGCUGGAGCACUGUAGAGGCAGGCGGAAUUCCGGGUGUAGCGGUGGAAUGCGGUAGAUAUCAGGAGGAACACCGGUGGCGAAGGCGGGUCUCUGGGCCGAUACUGACGCUGAGGCACGAAAGCGUGGGGAGCAAACAGG